RNAcentral lists this ribosomal RNA (1207 nucleotides) under Ignavibacteria bacterium. Its description in RNAcentral is "partial 23S ribosomal RNA". It matches the Rfam family "Bacterial large subunit ribosomal RNA", at positions 1 to 1209 of the family's 2925-position model. The record is from RNAcentral. Lineage: Bacteria; Pseudomonadati; Ignavibacteriota; Ignavibacteria.
GAUCAAGCUAGAAAGAGCAUAGGGUGAAUGCCUUGGCACUAGGAGCCGAAGAAGGACGCAGCAAUCUGCGAAAAGCCAUGGUGAGCCGAAAGCAGGCCGAGACCCAUGGGUAUCCGAAUGGGGAAACCCACCUGGGGUAAUGCCCAGGUAUCCAUAACUGAAUCCAUAGGUUAUGAGAAGGUAAACCCGGGGAACUGAAACAUCUAAGUACCCGGAGGAAGAGAAAGAAACCUCGAUUUCCUGAGUAGCGGCGAGCGAACGGGAAAGAGCCCAAACCGUAUCAGAAAUGAUACGGGGUUGUGGACCGGAAUAAGAUCAGACAUCAUUAACCGAACCGUCUGGAAAGUCGGGCCAGAGCAGGUGACAGUCCUGUAGGUGAAAAUGAUGAAAGAUUGUCCGGUAUCCAGAGUACCACGGGACACGUGAAACCCUGUGGGAAGCAGGGGGGCCCACCCCCCAAGGCUAAAUACUACCUAGUGACCGAUAGUGAAGAAGUACCGUGAGGGAAAGGUGAAAAGCACCCCGGGAGGGGAGUGAAAGAGAACCUGAAACCCUAUGUUUACAAGCGGUGGAAGCACGUUAAGGUGCGACCACGUACUUUUUGUAGAACGGACCGGCGAGUUACGAUAUGAUGCGAGGUUAAGGACUAAAGGUCUGGAGCCGAAGGGAAACCGAGUCUGAAAAGGGCGAAUAUAGUAUCAUGUUGUAGACCCGAAACCAGGUGACCUAUCCAUGGACAGGAUGAAGCGGAAGUAAAAUUCCGUGGAGGUCCGAAUCCACCGUUGUUGAAAAAACGGGGAAUGAGCUGUGGAUAGCGGUGAAAUGCCAAUCGAACUUGGAGAUAGCUGGUUCUCCUCGAAAUAGCUUUAGGGCUAGCCUCAGGAGAAGAAUCGUGGAGGUAGAGCACUGAAUGGGCUAGGGGGCCAACAAGCUUACCGAACCCUAUCAAACUCCGAAUGCCAUAGAUUUGCUUCCUGGGAGUCAGACUGCGGGAGAUAAGUUUCGUAGUCAAAAGGGAAACAGCCCAGAUCAUCAGCUAAGGUCCCAAAGUACAGGUUAAGUGGAAAAGGAUGUGGGAUUGCACAGACAACCAGGAUGUUGGCUUAGAAGCAGCCAUACAUUUAAAGAGUGCGUAAUAGCUCACUGGUCGAGUGAUCCUGCGCCGAAAAUGUCCGGGGCUCAAACCUGUCACCGAAGCUAUGGAUUG